This is a long non-coding RNA of Xenopus laevis (African clawed frog), 424 nucleotides long. RefSeq lists it as uncharacterized. The record is from RefSeq and is a predicted model, not a curated record. The transcript has 3 exons. Lineage: Eukaryota; Metazoa; Chordata; Amphibia; Anura; Pipidae.
ACAGCUGAGUAGCAAUCAGACCAUCUAAGACUUCAUUUUAGAGACUUGCAAUCCUUUUGCUUUAAACACUUCAAACCAUGUCUGGAGUUAAAGGUCAACAAAAGAAAUGCCAAGAGCAAACCCCACCACAGCCCUGCAAUCCAUGCCCUCCACAGCCCUGUAACCCAUGCCCUCCACCGAAGUGUCAGGAUCCUUGCCCCAAGCCAGUCCCACAAUGCCCAGAUCCAUGUAAGCAACACCAGACCCAUGGAGGUCAACACUGAAAGAAGCAAUGGCACAACUUAUGGACUGCCUGCUAUGAAGAGGCAAUAAUCGACAUACUUUACAUCUUCCUGUACCUACAAAAAAUUACCAAUAUUAAAGUCUGACUCUUAAAAUGUAUCAAUUGCAUUCUAUUCUAUCAAUAAAAUAAUUCAUCGUUUAA